UGGGCCCGUAGCUCAGCUGGAUAGAGCGGCUGACUACGGAUCAGCAGGUCGGGGGUUCGARUCCUCCCGGGCCCGCC
This 77-nucleotide transfer RNA is filed under the name Thermus parvatiensis. RNAcentral describes it as "tRNA-Arg". It matches the Rfam family "tRNA". From Rfam's summary of the family: Transfer RNA (tRNA) molecules are approximately 80 nucleotides in length. Their secondary structure includes four short double-helical elements and three loops (D, anti-codon, and T loops). Further hydrogen bonds mediate the characteristic L-shaped molecular structure. tRNAs have two regions of fundamental functional importance: the anti-codon, which is responsible for specific mRNA codon recognition, and the 3' end, to which the tRNAs corresponding amino acid is attached (by aminoacyl-tRNA synthetases). tRNAs cope with the degeneracy of the genetic code in two manners: having more than one tRNA (with a specific anti-codon) for a particular amino acid; and 'wobble' base-pairing, i.e. permitting non-standard base-pairing at the 3rd anti-codon position. Lineage: Bacteria; Thermotogati; Deinococcota; Deinococci; Thermales; Thermaceae. The record is from RNAcentral.